Molecule: non-coding RNA, 194 nt
Filed under: Lysinibacillus odysseyi
Lineage: Bacteria; Bacillati; Bacillota; Bacilli; Caryophanales; Bacillaceae
Also listed under: 1 other name
Description: 6S RNA
Rfam family: 6S / SsrS RNA
About the family: E. coli 6S RNA was the first non coding RNA to be sequenced, but its function was unknown until recently.
Source: RNAcentral
CGAAUCCUGAAGUGUUCGUUAAAAAGUGUUAUUUAACAGUUUUGACCGAACAUUAAAUCGUUGGGAGCCCGAUAUUUUUUCUGCGGCAAACAUGCCCCAUUGGAGCGGGACGUUUAAUGCAGAAGUGAGGGCACCCCCCUGCUAGAGUGCGGGUUCAAAACGAUGUGUAACAUGACGGCACAUUCGGGAUUCGU